GAGAGCCGGAUGCGGUGAAAGUCGCACGUCCGGUUCGGGGGCGCGGCGGUGGGAAAUAGCCCGGGCGACAAGCCCGGACACUACGCCCGCCGUCGACGCCUAC
This 103-nucleotide non-coding RNA is filed under the name Mycobacterium sp. JS623. Lineage: Bacteria; Bacillati; Actinomycetota; Actinomycetes; Mycobacteriales; Mycobacteriaceae. The record is from RNAcentral.